Molecule: ribosomal RNA, 193 nt
Filed under: uncultured Pseudomonas sp.
Lineage: Bacteria; Pseudomonadati; Pseudomonadota; Gammaproteobacteria; Pseudomonadales; Pseudomonadaceae
Description: partial 16S ribosomal RNA
Rfam family: Bacterial small subunit ribosomal RNA
Source: RNAcentral
UCCUACGGGAGGCAGCAGUGGGGAAUAUUGGACAAUGGGCGAAAGCCUGAUCCAGCCAUGCCGCGUGUGUGAAGAAGGUCUUCGGAUUGUAAAGCACUUUAAGUUGGGAGGAAGGGUUGUAGAUUAAUACUCUGCAAUUUUGACGUUACCGACAGAAUAAGCACCGGCUAACUCUGUGCCAGCAGCCGCGGUA